GAUGAGCAGAAAGACAUGUGUUCUCUGGUCUCUUCACAGGCAGCCAGCUCUCGUGUGGAACCUGUGGAAGGCUGCAGAGGCAGACAUGGUGGAGAGUACCUAUAUGUAACAUCCCUGAGGGAGUCCUGCGUGGAACUUCCCCAGCUACAACUACACUGAUAGAUUUUAAACUCAGUGGGAUUUGGAACAUGUGCCAAGGUCACCAAGCAGACAAAGUAUCAGUCAUAACUAAGACGGCUGUACUCAGGUCAAGCUGGCAUAGAAUCAGAUCGCAGAUCCUGAGGAAUUUGUGGGAGAACAACACAAAAAUUAUAUCAGCUGUUAAGAGAAUAUGUGGGCAGAGCAUCCGGUGCACCAGUUGGUUAUGUCAGCAUUCCUUACAUUUUGCCUGUUGGUGCUACUUCUGCUGAGACCAUGGAAGCUGCACUGGUGGUAUUACAAACAGAGAGCACAUUAAUAUCC
Molecule: long non-coding RNA, 462 nt
Filed under: Chinchilla lanigera (long-tailed chinchilla)
Lineage: Eukaryota; Metazoa; Chordata; Mammalia; Rodentia; Chinchillidae
Description: lncRNA (ENSCLAG00000023263.1)
Source: RNAcentral